GCAGGGUUCAUCUCUUCCUCCCAGUACCUGCAACAACAGAACCAACACAGAGACACCAGCAAGCAUUUCCGCAAUCACAAACCCCACCUUUCUCUUAUCAUGCUGUUCUACCUUUCUUUUCCCUAUAUCCUUCACUUCUUACAUUUUAAAUCUUGUUUUUCUGUAAGCUGCUUCAAAUCCUACCUGAAUAAGGCAGGGUAUCGGAAAAUCAAUACACUCUUCAGGAACUUAACCGAAGGGAAUUUCCUGUGAGCAGCACAGGGCCUUGACUUUGCGCCUGGAAAGGUGUCCUCAUCACAUCAUUGUCAGACCACCACAGGAACCCACAGCUCAUCCUGCCUCUUCCAAUUCAUGUCUCACUCAUUAAACCGUCCUGUUUGUUUGUUUGUCUGUUUUCUACUGAAUCCUCUGGUUAAACAGCAGGAGCAGUGCAGUCAAAUGUCUUGAUAAAAUGUCACACCUUUCCGUGAAAUUUCUAAGUGUAGCUAUGCAGCACGGAGGAAAAGCCACCCGGUUUCCAGUUACUGACCUGGGCGGACUUGGUUUUCUUCCGGGUUCCCGCAGUGGGUUUCCUCUCGAGCAGUGAGUUCUUGCCUCUCAAAGGAAGAAGCCACACUGGCCAUGUAAAGAGAGUGUCCAAACCUUCCUCUUCCGCAGCUGGAGAGACUUCCCAGCUCCUCUUCUGUUUGGGGACUGGGAAGCUCUGAGUCCCAACUUCUCUUGUCUGAUUUCACUUUCUCACCCACCAACCCCUGCUCUCACUCAACCACGAAGUGCCCUCAACACUGAUCUCUGCCUAAAAAUGACUGAAAUCGAUGUCCAAUUUUGGGGGGAUGACUGAUUCUAAUGUUAGGAAGAGGAGCUUAAAAGAUCCAACCUCCCACUCAGUGAGAAAGGGGUCCCUGAACACCUUUCUUGAGACAUAAUCUCCCUACUCCCACUUAAAUGCGAGCAAUUCCUGCUUUUUGCCACAGCGAGGCAAGGCAUUUCUGGAAGUUAUGCUGCAAAGUAAAUCUUUUUAGAGCUCUGGUUUCAAGACUUUGGGUUUUAGGCACCUAGAUAGGUGCCAAGUUUUCAUUUUGUUAAAUAAGGAUAUUUAAAAAAUAAAUAGGUGCCCCCUUCUGCGCGGUCACACUGAGCCAGCGCCUAGGCCUGGGACUGGGCCACAGCACCUUAGCUUCUUCAUCCACCGCCUCCUGACCAUGGACCCCUGGAAAGUGAACGCACUUCGGGCUUUUGUGAAAAUAUGUAAGCAGGAUCCGAGCAUUCUGCACAUUGAGGAAAUGUACUUCCUGAGGGAGUGGGUGGAGAGCAUGGGGGGGUAAACUACCACCUGCUACUCAGAAAGUUAAAUCAGAAGAAAAUACCAAGGAAGAAAAACCUGAUAAGAAGAAGGUGGAGGAAGACUUAAAGGCAGACGAACCAUCACGUGAGGAAAGUAAUCUAUAAAUUGAUAAUGAAGGUGUGAUUGAACCAGACCCUGAUGCCCCUCAAGAAAUGGGAGAUGAAAAUGCAGAGAUAAUGGAAGAGAUGAUGGAUCAGGCAAAUGAUAAGAAAGUGACUGCUAUUGAAGCCCUAAAUGAUGGUGAACUGCAGAAAGCCAUUGACUUAUUCACAGAUGCCAUCAAGCUGAAUCCUCAGUUGGCCAUUUUGCAUGCCAAGAGGGCCAGUGUCUUCGUCAAAUUACAGAAGCCAAAUGCUGCCAUCCGAGACUGUGACAGAGUCAUUGAAAUAAAUUCUGAUUCAGCUCAGCCUUACAAGUGGCGAGGGAAAGCACACAGACCUCUAGGCCACUGGGAAGAAGCAGUACAUGAUCUUGCCCUUGCCUGUAAAUUGGAUUAUGACGAAGAUGCUAGUAUAAUGCUGGAAGAAGUUCAGCCUAGGGCACAGACAUUGCAGAACAUGGGAGAAAGUAUGAGCAAAAACGUGAAGAGCGAGAGAUCAAAGAAAGAAUAGAAAGAGUUAAGAAGGCUCGAGAAGAGCAUGAGAGAGCCCAGAGGGAGGAAGAAGCCAGACGACAGUCAGGAGUUCAGUAUGGCUCUUCUCCAGGUGGACUUCCUGGGGGAAUGCUUGGAAUGGGAGGGGGCAUGCCUGGGAUGGCCGGAAUCCCUGGACUCAGUGAAAUUCUUAGUGAUCCAGAGGUUCUUGCAGCCAUGCAGGAUCCAGAAGUUACGGUGGCCUCUUCCAGGAUGUGGCUCAGAACCCAGCAAAUAUGUCACAAUACCAGAGCAACCCAAAGGUUAUGAAUCUUAUCAGUAAAUUGUCAGCCAAAUUUGGAGGUCAAGCGUAAUGUCCUUCUGAUAAAUAAAGACCUUGCUGAAGGAAAAGCAACCUAGAUCACGUUAUGGAUGUCGCAAUAAUACAAACCAGUGUACCUCUGAUCUUCUCAUCAAGAGAGCUGGGGUGCUUUGAAGAUAAUCCAUAUCCCUCUCCCCCAAAUGCAGCUGAAGCAUUUACCGUGGUUUGCCAUUCAUUCAGAUAAUGUUUUCCUACUAGGAAUUACAAACUUUAAACCGUUUUUAAACCUUAAAAAUAUUUAAAACAAAUUUAAAGGGACUGUUAAUUCUUAUAUUUUUCUUUAUUAAUCAUUUUGGAUUUUUUUCUUUGAAUUAUUGGGCAGGGAAGAUACUUAUGUAUGGAAGAUUGUUGCUCUAAUUUGAGUGAAAUAAAACUUUAUUAGUGCAAGGCAAACAUAAAAAAAAA
This is an RNA transcript of Cercocebus atys (sooty mangabey), 2703 nucleotides long. It is a transcript of the gene named hsc70-interacting protein pseudogene, with no coding region annotated. The transcript has a single exon. The record is from RefSeq and is a predicted model, not a curated record. Lineage: Eukaryota; Metazoa; Chordata; Mammalia; Primates; Cercopithecidae.